RNAcentral lists this ribosomal RNA (773 nucleotides) under uncultured Neocallimastigales. RNAcentral describes it as "partial large subunit ribosomal RNA". It matches the Rfam family "Eukaryotic large subunit ribosomal RNA", at positions 24 to 646 of the family's 3401-position model. Lineage: Eukaryota; Fungi; Neocallimastigomycota; Neocallimastigomycetes; Neocallimastigales. The record is from RNAcentral.
GAGUCUCGCACAGAUGCAUAUCAAUAAGCGGAGGAAAAGAAACUAACAAGGAUUCCCCUAGUAACGGCGAGUGAAGCGGGAAGAGCUCAAAUUUGAAAUCUUAAAGGGUUUCCCUUUACGAAUUGUAGUUUAAAGAAGUGUUUUCUGUUGAGGUUUUGGUAAAAGUUCUUUGGAAUAGGACAUCAUAGAGGGUGAGAAUCCCGUAUUUGACCUUUACUUUCAACUUUGUGAUACACUUUCGAAGAGUCGGAUUGUUUGGGAAUGCAGUCCAAAGUGGGUGGUAAAUUUCAUCUAAAGCUAAAUAUUGGCGAGAGACCGAUAGCGAACAAGUACCGUGAGGGAAAGAUGAAAAGAACUUUGAAAAGAGAGUUAAACAGUACGUGAAAUUGUCAAAAGGGAAGCGUUUGACACCAGUGUUGUUUUUCUGAAAAUCAAUUAAAGAACUGUUUAUGCUAAGCUGUUUAGACUUUAUCAGCUAUCUGUUUAGUUUUGAGCUUUUCUUUAAUGCACCUUUCAGUUAACAAGUCAACAUCAAUUUCUUUUGCUGUAAAAAAGCUUGAGGAAGGUGGCUUGAGAUUCGUCUUAAGUGUUUAUAGCCUCUUGCCUAUGCAGUCGGAGAGAUUGAGGUCUGCAGCGUAGAUCCUUCGGGGCUAAAUGCAUUUGUGCUAAGUUAUAGCAUUUUAUAGACAACUUGUUGACUAUGAUUUGUCUUGUAGCUUACUCGCUUAUGUUAUUUUACCUACGCUUAGGAUGUUGAUCUGUAGUGCGUGCGC